RNAcentral lists this ribosomal RNA (253 nucleotides) under uncultured bacterium. Its description in RNAcentral is "partial 16S ribosomal RNA". It matches the Rfam family "Bacterial small subunit ribosomal RNA", at positions 524 to 776 of the family's 1533-position model. The record is from RNAcentral.
CACGUAGGGUGCGAGCGUUGUCCGGAAUUAUUGGGCGUAAAGGGUGCGUAGGCGGCGCGGUAAGUCGGGUGUGAAAUCUCGGGGCUUAACUCCGAAACUGCAUUCGAUACUGCCGUGCUUGAGGACUGGAGAGGAGACUGGAAUUUACGGUGUAGCGGUGAAAUGCGUAGAUAUCGUAAGGAAGACCAGUGGCGAAGGCGGGUCUCUGGACAGUUCCUGACGCUGAGGCACGAAGGCCAGGGGAGCAAACGGG